This 436-nucleotide ribosomal RNA is filed under the name uncultured bacterium. Its description in RNAcentral is "bacterial SSU rRNA". It matches the Rfam family "Bacterial small subunit ribosomal RNA", at positions 355 to 786 of the family's 1533-position model. The record is from RNAcentral.
UGAGGAAUAUUGGUCAAUGGUCGCUAGACUGAACCAGCCAAGUAGCGUGCGGGAUGAAGGCCCUCCGGGUCGUAAACCACUUUUAGACGGGGAUAAAAGGGCGUACGUGUACGCCGUAUUGCAUGUACCGUCAGAAAAACGGACCGGCUAAUUCCGUGCCAGCAGCCGCGGUAAUACGGAAGGUCCGGGCGUUAUCCGGAUUUAUUGGGUUUAAAGGGAGCGUAGGCGGACUUUCAAGUCAGUGGUAAAAUCGUGUGGCUCAACCAUACCUCGCCAUUGAAACUGGAAGUCUGGAGUGCACACAGGGGUGCCGGAAUUCAUGGUGUAGCGGUGAAAUGCUUAGAUAUCAUGAAGAACUCCGAUCGCGAAGGCAAGUGCCCGGGGUGCAACUGACGCUGAGGCUCGAAGGUGCGGGUAUCGAACAGGAUUAGAUACC